UGGGAGAGAAAGAACUGCAUUGUGCUGUCUUCUUCAUGGCGCCCUGUGUGCAAUGGCUGCAAAGAGCAGCCUCCUGAAUAUGGCCUGUUGCUUGUACAGGUGGCUCUAAGGGACCCUGGAGAUAGCC
Erinaceus europaeus (western European hedgehog) is the source of this 127-nucleotide small nucleolar RNA. Its record names the gene SNORA70. It matches the Rfam family "Small nucleolar RNA SNORA70". From Rfam's summary of the family: snoRNA U70 seems to be exclusive to mammals and is a member of the H/ACA class of snoRNA which contain H (ANANNA) and ACA box motifs. H/ACA box snoRNAs are involved in the conversion of uridines to pseudouridines (5-ribosyluracil) a constituent of structural RNAs (transfer, ribosomal, small nuclear, and small nucleolar). The record is from Ensembl. Lineage: Eukaryota; Metazoa; Chordata; Mammalia; Eulipotyphla; Erinaceidae.